AUGACUUCGAAGUUUCGGUCAGUUAAGCCAUCAUCGGAUGAAGGCUUAAAUAGCUGAAACUUCGAAUUCACUGUCAAUAAUAUUCUUGUUUAACAAUAAAAACUUUGUACUCUACAAAACUAUAGAGUAACCUAUCAGAUUAAUGUAAAAUAGUUUUUAUUACAUAAGUGAAUAUAAAAACAAACAUUAAUAUAUAUAUAAUA
Molecule: long non-coding RNA, 203 nt
Organism: Octopus sinensis (East Asian common octopus)
Lineage: Eukaryota; Metazoa; Mollusca; Cephalopoda; Octopoda; Octopodidae
Exons: 3
Source: RefSeq, a predicted model, not a curated record